CGGACGGGUGAGUAAUGUCUGGGGAACUGCCUGAUGGAGGGGGAUAACUACUGGAAACGGUAGCUAAUACCGCAUAAUGUCGCAAGACCAAAGAGGGGGACCUUCGGGCCUCUUGCCAUCGGAUGUGCCCAGAUGGGAUUAGCUAGUAGGUGGGGUAACGGCUCACCUAGGCGACGAUCCCUAGCUGGUCUGAGAGGAUGACCAGCCACACUGGAACUGAGACACGGUCCAG
RNAcentral lists this ribosomal RNA (232 nucleotides) under uncultured bacterium. Its description in RNAcentral is "partial 16S ribosomal RNA". It matches the Rfam family "Bacterial small subunit ribosomal RNA", at positions 99 to 334 of the family's 1533-position model. The record is from RNAcentral.